This 206-nucleotide long non-coding RNA is filed under the name Manihot esculenta (cassava). RNAcentral describes it as "long non-coding RNA (MESC_LNC010162)". The record is from RNAcentral. Lineage: Eukaryota; Viridiplantae; Streptophyta; Magnoliopsida; Malpighiales; Euphorbiaceae.
UACAACCUGGACUUUCUCUUACAUAGUGCCAGGGACGUAGAAUGGGUACAACCUGGACUUCCAUACUAUCUCAUGCCGUAGCAUCAUCAUAUCAUAUGAGGACUAAAGGGUCAUCCAAUAACCAAUCCACAUCAACAUCAUAAAUGCAAUGCAACAUAUUCGUGGAUUCUAAUGCAAACAACCUAUUUCAUCACAUGGCAUUCAUG